UAUGGGAUUUCUCCCCCCUCUGAUGAGUUGUUAGUAAGUCGGGAAACUUAACAGUAACAACACAACCAGUAUGAUGACGAACUUCAUCAUAA
RNAcentral lists this small RNA (92 nucleotides) under Escherichia coli. RNAcentral's name for it is "QUAD RNA". It matches the Rfam family "Short Intergenic Abundant RNA", at positions 42 to 134 of the family's 147-position model. From Rfam's summary of the family: This family contains multiple ncRNA from E. coli that were identified in a large scale screen of E. coli, were they were called candidates 43,55 and 61. These RNAs have also been identified by other groups and called QUAD RNAs. The record is from RNAcentral. Lineage: Bacteria; Pseudomonadati; Pseudomonadota; Gammaproteobacteria; Enterobacterales; Enterobacteriaceae.